UAGCUCAGUGGCAGAGCAAAUGUCUACCAUGCAUGAGCUCCUGGGUUCAAUCCCCAG
Molecule: transfer RNA, 57 nt
Filed under: Ictidomys tridecemlineatus (thirteen-lined ground squirrel)
Lineage: Eukaryota; Metazoa; Chordata; Mammalia; Rodentia; Sciuridae
Also listed under: 1 other name
Description: Spermophilus tridecemlineatus (thirteen-lined ground squirrel) tRNA
Rfam family: tRNA
About the family: Transfer RNA (tRNA) molecules are approximately 80 nucleotides in length. Their secondary structure includes four short double-helical elements and three loops (D, anti-codon, and T loops). Further hydrogen bonds mediate the characteristic L-shaped molecular structure. tRNAs have two regions of fundamental functional importance: the anti-codon, which is responsible for specific mRNA codon recognition, and the 3' end, to which the tRNAs corresponding amino acid is attached (by aminoacyl-tRNA synthetases). tRNAs cope with the degeneracy of the genetic code in two manners: having more than one tRNA (with a specific anti-codon) for a particular amino acid; and 'wobble' base-pairing, i.e. permitting non-standard base-pairing at the 3rd anti-codon position.
Source: Rfam by way of RNAcentral